Molecule: ribosomal RNA, 441 nt
Filed under: uncultured bacterium
Lineage: Bacteria
Description: partial 16S ribosomal RNA
Rfam family: Bacterial small subunit ribosomal RNA
Source: RNAcentral
CCUACGGGAGGCAGCAGUGAGGAAUAUUGGUCAAUGGGAGAGAUCCUGAACCAGCCAAGCCGCGUGAGUGAAGAAGUAUUUCGGUAUGUAAAGCUCUAUCAGCAGGGAAGAAGAAAGACGGUACCUGACUAAGAAGCCCCGGCUAACUACGUGCCAGCAGCCGCGGUAAUACGUAGGGGGCAAGCGUUAUCCGGAUUUACUGGGUGGAAAGGGAGCGUAGACGGCUGUGCAAGUCUGAAGUGAAAGCCCGUGGCUCAACCGCGGAACUGCUUUGGAAACUGUAUAGCUUGAGUACUGGAGAGGCAGGCGGAAUUCCUAGUGUAGCGGUGAAAUGAGUAGAUAUUAGGAGGAACACCAGUGGCGAAGGCGGCCUGCUGGACAGAAACUGACGUUGAGGCUCGAAAGCGUGGGGAGCAAACAGGAUUAGAUACCCCAGUAGUC